UUGAUCACUUAAGCAGCACAUACACUAAAGUUGGAACAAUACAGAGAAGCUUAUCAUGGCCCCUGCCCAAAGAUGACCCACAAAUUUGUGAAGUGUUUCAAAUUUUU
Apodemus sylvaticus (European woodmouse) is the source of this 107-nucleotide small nuclear RNA. The record is from RefSeq and is a predicted model, not a curated record. Lineage: Eukaryota; Metazoa; Chordata; Mammalia; Rodentia; Muridae.